UACGUAGGGGGCAAGCGUUGUCCGGAUUUAUUGGGCGUAAAGAGCGUGUAGGCGGUUUGUCGCGUCUGCUGUGAAAUCCCGAGGCUCAACCUCGGGCCUGCAGUGGGUACGGGCAGACUGGAGUGCGGUAGGGGAGAAUGGAAUUCCUGGUGUAGCGGUGAAAUGCGUAGAUAUCCGGAGGAACACCGGUGGCGAAGGCGGCUUCCUGGACCGACACUGACGCUGAGGCGCGAAAGCUAGGGGAGCAAACGGG
This 253-nucleotide ribosomal RNA is filed under the name uncultured bacterium. Its description in RNAcentral is "partial 16S ribosomal RNA". It matches the Rfam family "Bacterial small subunit ribosomal RNA", at positions 524 to 776 of the family's 1533-position model. The record is from RNAcentral.